Molecule: non-coding RNA, 74 nt
Organism: Chelonia mydas (Green sea turtle)
Lineage: Eukaryota; Metazoa; Chordata; Testudines; Cheloniidae
Source: Rfam
GGAGGGAUAGCUCAGUGGUUUGAGCAUUGGCCUGUUAAACCCAGGGUUGUGAGUUCAAUUACCUACUCUCUACU